Long non-coding RNA from Cottoperca gobio, 2501 nucleotides. Ensembl lists it as uncharacterized. The record is from Ensembl. NCBI's taxonomy places the organism in Eukaryota, Metazoa, Chordata, Actinopteri, Perciformes, Bovichtidae.
GUCCAAUGCCCAUGCGCGCUCUGCAGAGGACGUUAUCCUCUUAUACACAUUCACAUAAACAUUCACAAAUAUCUAGCGGUGGAUUUAUUCUUCACACAUCAUGCAGGUGAAGAUGUCCCCGUGUGUCCUGCUCACUGCCCUUUUUGCCCUUCAUCUAGCUGUGGGUGAAAGAGAAGAAGCCCAGAUGGUUUGUUCCGGGCGGGAAUUUCGUCUGCCCGUUUUCUCGACAUCCAGAACGGUGACUUUUACACCAGACCCUGACGGACCAAGGCGCGUCCUGCUGGACAAAACCAUCGUAAAGGACCCGCGGUUCGAGUGGACCAGAGAUAAGAUGCUAGUCCUGAGAGAUGUGACUCAUGAUGAUCAGGGACUUUACGCCAUCAAACUGUUUUCUGGAUUCACCUACGAAGCUGUUCGUUUGACUGUUUCAGCAUGCAUUAAGUCCUACCGCAGAAACUACGGGGAGAACUUUGAGCACAACAUCCCUGAAAAUGGCUCGCUUCUGGAGUUUUCUCCCAGGGGUGCUCCACCUGAGGCCAUGCCAGUUGCACUGUGGAACCGGACGGAUCCUGAGACCAGUGAUGCGGGCCGGGGCCGGCUGCUGCAGGCUGGGAAGGUGUGGGUGGCAGAAAGAGUGACGCAGGCGGACCAAGGCAACUACACUGUGAGAGACGGCAAGGGGAAGGUCGUGUCCCGCAGCACCCUCACUGUCCGCGGGCGCUCCUUCAAUGUCACCCGCUUCACCAAGGAGUCUCUAAACCUGCCCCUCUUUCUCCCUGUCCCUCAUGCACGCCUCAUUUUUACCCCCACCCGAUACCCUGACGAAUCCUCCCUGGGCUCUUUUGACCCCAAGCCCCCCCGUGGCCCUGUGCAGCUGAUCCGCGAGGGCCAUAUAACAGACCACGACAUGCGCUACAGGGGCCUCAUCUCUCUGGGCAGGAACGGCACCAUCAAUGAGGUCGUCAUAGUGAGGCUGACUUCAAGGCAUGACGGACUGUAUGAAAUCAGAGAUGGGGAUGGCAACCUGGUAUCUGCCACCUGGUUGCAGGUUAUCGAAAAGGGAGGCAGAUGGCGAGCACUUCUCAAGUCCAUCACUGUCCCUUCUGGCAUGUUUGUGUCGCUGGCUGGUUUCCUCCUGUUCAUGAAGCGAUACCCAAACUGCAGCCUGUCACAGAUCAUCGCUGGCCUCCGAGCAAACCGCACGCCACCAGCCAACCCUCCGAGGGUCAACAUCCAGGACUACAGCCAGCCCAGCCCUCAGCCCUCAGGCUACUAUAGUCACUCUCAGCCGCCUGGAACACCCAGAAAAUUGACCCCAAGAGCCAGUCCUGCUCACUCUGCUUCCUCUCCGGUUAUAGUAGGAACUCCUAGAGCUGACAACCAGGAAGAACACAGAUUGGUGGCUAGGAGCUCCCCUCGUCAUAAUCCAACCACUGAGCGGGACACAUCUCACAACAACGAGGAAGAGAGAAGGAUUUCUUUUUCGGUGCCUGGGGCUUCAGACUGCCUUCACUCUUCUGAGGACUGUGUUCAAUUCCAGAUCAAGAAGGAUGGAGAUAAAGAAAGGUGGAGCAAAUUACAAGGAUACUUUUCCACACUGCCACUGGACACGGACACCUCUGAAUCCUGCAGUGUUUACACUUCGGAGAAACUGAACUUCUUAUAAAACAGAGAAUGGGAGCUGAAGGAAGAAGAAGAAACAUAAAACAUGGAGAAACUACAGUAUUGGAUUCUCAGAUGGAGAAAGCUGUUUUAUAAAAGAAAGACCUCACCUGUGCCUUUUGCAUCUUAGUCUAGUUUUACUAGUUUGGUAUCAAUAUUGCAUGUCAUUUUUUCAUGUCAUUUUUAUGCAGCAUGAGUUGAGCAUUAGCCUUCCUAUCUCAUAUAUUUCUUGACACUGUUGACGGUGCUUUUGAAAUCUCCUGCUGUUACCUACCUCCAGACCCUCAGGACCAGUAUGAUCUGCACUGUAUUUGCUGAGUGUUGGUGCGAGUAUGUUUGUGGUGUGAUCGCUAGGGCUACCUAGAAAUUAGAGUUGUGAUGGAUACAAAUAUUUGCAAAAGGGAAUUAAAUAAAUACUUAAAUACUGUACAGUUAUAGAGAGUUAGUUGACGUGUUUUUCUCCAUCCAUCAUGUUAACCAUUCCUAACUGCAACAACAAUUAAUUAUUGUGUUAAAUGUCUGCUAUGCAGUUCAGUGAUUGUUUGCAAUGAUAUAGUAUAUUUACCCUCAAGGUAAUUGUAGAAAUAGUUGUGUGAAAUAUGAAAUGUUCCACCAAACAUUGCAAUAGCCUAUUAAUCUGUAAACUUUGUGUACAGUAUAACAUCUUAUCACCAAAUCUUUCUAGUGACGACUAAGGUUGUAUUGCUGCUUGUGAUAUUUUUGGACUGUCAAAAUGUCAUCUCCUAAACAAUAAAAUGUAUCUUUAAGACACAUUUUAGAUGCGCUUCCUCUUAUGCACUUUUGUUUGGCUGUAACUAACAAAUCAAAUCAAAUGUAUU